AGGAUGAAGAGGGUUCAG
This 18-nucleotide unclassified non-coding RNA is filed under the name Mus musculus (house mouse). Its description in RNAcentral is "oocyte_clustered_small_RNA11650". The record is from RNAcentral. Lineage: Eukaryota; Metazoa; Chordata; Mammalia; Rodentia; Muridae.